This 96-nucleotide small nuclear RNA is filed under the name Loxodonta africana (African savanna elephant). Lineage: Eukaryota; Metazoa; Chordata; Mammalia; Proboscidea; Elephantidae. The record is from RNAcentral.
GUGCUUUGCCAGCUUAUACACUAAAACUGGAAAGAUACAGAGAAGGCUGUGGUCUUUGGGCAAAGAUGACAAAUUCAUUUAGCAGCACAUAUUUUU